CGAGCCGGCCGGGCAGCCGCGACCGGUUCCGUCGUACGACGGAUGACCGGUCGAGGAAGGUCCGGACUCCGCAGGGCAAGGUGGUGGGCAACGCCCACCCGGGGUGACCCGCGGGAAAGUGCCACAGAGAACAGACCGCCGCCGGUCUCGAUCCGUCGAGACCGGGGGUAAGGGUGAAACGGUGGUGUAAGAGACCACCAGCGCUCCGGGCGACCGGGGCGGCUGGGUAAACCCCACCUGGAGCAAGACCAAGAAGGAUGUCAAGCCUCGGCUUGGCCUCCGCGCAGGCGACGAGUCCGGACCCCGGUCUCGAGAGGGCGGCCCGCCCGAGCCUGCGGGUAGGUCGCACGAGCGUCUCGGCAACGAGGCGCCUAGAUGGAUGGCUGCUCAGGGUCGGUCCGCAAGGACCCCCGGACAGAAUCCGGCCUACAGGCCGGCUCGCCCG
RNAcentral lists this RNase P RNA (445 nucleotides) under Nocardioidaceae bacterium. RNAcentral's name for it is "RNase P RNA component class A". It matches the Rfam family "Bacterial RNase P class A". Rfam says of the family: Ribonuclease P (RNase P) is a ubiquitous endoribonuclease, found in archaea, bacteria and eukarya as well as chloroplasts and mitochondria. Its best characterised activity is the generation of mature 5'-ends of tRNAs by cleaving the 5'-leader elements of precursor-tRNAs. The record is from RNAcentral. Lineage: Bacteria; Bacillati; Actinomycetota; Actinomycetes; Propionibacteriales; Nocardioidaceae.